CAUCGCCUCUUGCCUAAAUAUAAGAGGUCUAGCCUGCCCAGUGACAUAGUUUAACGGCCGCGGUACCCUAACCGUGCAAAGGUAGCAUAAUCACUUGUUCCUUAAAUAGGGACUCGUAUCAACGGCAUCACGAGGGCUGUACUGUCUCCUUUCUCCAAUCAGUGAAACUGAUCUCCCCGUGAAGAAGCGGGGAUAAACCUAUAAGACGAGAAGACCCCAUGGAGCUUUAAACCCAUCGCACACCUCUACGCACUCAAAUCAGUAUAGCCUAAGAAGCUUGUGCGUUGGUUUUAGGUUGGGGGGACCGCGGAGUAAAAUUAAACCUCCACGACAGACGGGCUAAUACCCUUAUCCAUGAACCACAAUUCUAAGAGCCAAUAAAUUGUUGUCUAAUGACCCAAUUACUUGAUCAACGAACCAAGUUACCCUGGGGAUAACAGCGCAAUCUACUUCAAGAGCCCCUAUCGACAAGUAGGUUUACGACCUCGAUGUUGGAUCAGGGUAUCCUAGU
Molecule: ribosomal RNA, 511 nt
Filed under: Amolops nyingchiensis (Nyingchi cascade frog)
Lineage: Eukaryota; Metazoa; Chordata; Amphibia; Anura; Ranidae
Description: partial large subunit ribosomal RNA
Rfam family: Bacterial large subunit ribosomal RNA
Source: RNAcentral